UACGGGGGGGACUAACGUUAUUCAUCAUAACUGGGCGUAAAGGGUACGUAGGCUGUUUAUUAAGUCUUAACUAAAUAAUCUAACCGUAAUUUAGAAAUUAGUUUUUAUACUGAUAAUGAUUUAUAAUAAAUAAAAGUGUGUUUUAACAUACAUUUUUAUUUUUAUCUUACUAGAGGUUAAUAUAGGAAAGUUAUAUUCUUAAAGGAAAAGUGAAAUUUUUAGAUAUUAAGAAGAUAACCAAUAUGCGAAGGCAACUUUCCAGAUUGACACUGACGCUGAGGUACGAAGGCAUGGGUAGCAAACGGG
RNAcentral lists this ribosomal RNA (306 nucleotides) under uncultured prokaryote. RNAcentral describes it as "partial 16S ribosomal RNA". It matches the Rfam family "Bacterial small subunit ribosomal RNA", at positions 524 to 776 of the family's 1533-position model. The record is from RNAcentral.